UACGUAGGGCGCGAGCGUUGUCCGGAAUCAUUGGGCGUAAAGAGCUCGUAGGCGGCCGGUUGCGUCUGCUGUGAAAUCCCGGGGCUUAACCCCGGGCGUGCAGUGGAUACGGGCUGGCUGGAGGCAGGCAGGGGAGAAUGGAAUUCCCGGUGUAGCGGUGAAAUGCGCAGAUAUCAGGAGGAACACCGAUGGCGAAGGCAGGUCUCUGGGCAUUAACUGACGCUGAGGAGCGAAAGCAUGGGGAGCGAACAGG
Molecule: ribosomal RNA, 253 nt
Filed under: uncultured bacterium
Lineage: Bacteria
Description: partial 16S ribosomal RNA
Rfam family: Bacterial small subunit ribosomal RNA
Source: RNAcentral